RNAcentral lists this ribosomal RNA (866 nucleotides) under Staphylococcus arlettae. RNAcentral's name for it is "bacterial SSU rRNA". It matches the Rfam family "Bacterial small subunit ribosomal RNA", at positions 44 to 894 of the family's 1533-position model. The record is from RNAcentral. Lineage: Bacteria; Bacillati; Bacillota; Bacilli; Caryophanales; Staphylococcaceae.
GUGCUAUACAUGCAGUCGAGCGAACAGAUAAGGAGCUUGCUCCUUUGACGUUAGCGGCGGACGGGUGAGUAACACGUGGGUAACCUACCUAUAAGACUGGAAUAACUCCGGGAAACCGGGGCUAAUGCCGGAUAACAUUUAGAACCGCAUGGUUCUAAAGUGAAAGAUGGUUUUGCUAUCACUUAUAGAUGGACCCGCGCCGUAUUAGCUAGUUGGUAAGGUAAUGGCUUACCAAGGCAACGAUACGUAGCCGACCUGAGAGGGUGAUCGGCCACACUGGAACUGAGACACGGUCCAGACUCCUACGGGAGGCAGCAGUAGGGAAUCUUCCGCAAUGGGCGAAAGCCUGACGGAGCAACGCCGCGUGAGUGAUGAAGGGUUUCGGCUCGUAAAACUCUGUUAUUAGGGAAGAACAAACGUGUAAGUAACUGUGCACGUCUUGACGGUACCUAAUCAGAAAGCCACGGCUAACUACGUGCCAGCAGCCGCGGUAAUACGUAGGUGGCAAGCGUUAUCCGGAAUUAUUGGGCGUAAAGCGCGCGUAGGCGGUUUCUUAAGUCUGAUGUGAAAGCCCACGGCUCAACCGUGGAGGGUCAUUGGAAACUGGGAGACUUGAGUGCAGAAGAGGAAAGUGGAAUUCCAUGUGUAGCGGUGAAAUGCGCAGAGAUAUGGAGGAACACCAGUGGCGAAGGCGACUUUCUGGUCUGUAACUGACGCUGAUGUGCGAAAGCGUGGGGAUCAAACAGGAUUAGAUACCCUGGUAGUCCACGCCGUAAACGAUGAGUGCUAAGUGUUAGGGGGUUUCCGCCCCUUAGUGCUGCAGCUAACGCAUUAAGCACUCCGCCUGGGGAGUACGACCGCAAGGU